AGUUUGACAUAUCUGCCAGGUGCCGCCGAAAUUCGGCGGUGAAAAGGGAAUACGGUGCAAAUCCGUAACGUUGGGCCAGCGCUGUAAGCGGGGACGACGGCUGCAGGAUGCCACUGUUCCGGUUGGGAACGGGAAGGUGCAGUCGGAGGACGAUCCGCAAGUCAGAAGACCUGCCUGGGAGAACAGACUUCU
This 192-nucleotide non-coding RNA is filed under the name Desulfobacterales bacterium. Lineage: Bacteria; Pseudomonadati; Thermodesulfobacteriota; Desulfobacteria; Desulfobacterales. The record is from RNAcentral.